UCGCGUUUAGCUCAGAGGGACGAGAGCAUCUCUUUGCCAAAGAGAAGGUCGUGGGUUCGAAUCCUACAACGCGCU
Non-coding RNA from Candidatus Staskawiczbacteria bacterium, 75 nucleotides. The record is from Rfam. Lineage: Bacteria; Candidatus Staskawicziibacteriota.